AUGGGAUGCUUGCUUUCAUUCAUCACAGAAUCGACCCAAGAACUAUCAUAGGCAUUUUCAAGGACAACAAUUGGGCAAGACAUGUCCCAUCCACCGCAGUCACACCUUCCCCCGCUUUUUAGACGGUUAAGUAACGGUGAUGGACUGGUCUCCUCAUCCCUUGGUAACCCGUGUGCUCCGCCUGCUGUAACCACUUUGACUGUACCAGGUGAUGAUCCAGCUUUCAAUUCUUGGGACCGGGUUUUAUGAAAUGGCACUUGGACUACAACAGCUGCAACCUCCAAAUGA
RNAcentral lists this ribosomal RNA (288 nucleotides) under Triticum aestivum (bread wheat). RNAcentral describes it as "partial small subunit ribosomal RNA". The record is from RNAcentral. Lineage: Eukaryota; Viridiplantae; Streptophyta; Magnoliopsida; Poales; Poaceae.